UACAAAUGACAGAAUAUUUAUUACCAAUACCUUUAAAAAAAGAUUACAUCUGCUAGAUCACUGAUAAAUAUCAUUUACACCGGGGAGAAAACUACAUAGGCUUUUUUUUUUUUUGUUUUGUUUCAUUUUCUGGUUUUUGUGGUUUUUUUGUUUUUGUUUUUUACAUAGAAGUAACCAUAUCAAACUAAGAAAGGAACACAGCUUGAAAUACUGACAAUAUUUCUCUGGUUAACACCCCUGACUUUUACACAAGUGGAAUCCCGAUUAUGAGUUACUGAAUAAAUAUAUUGAGAAGGUUUAAAAGUUAACUUGGAUUGUUUUGUAAGCAAAAAAGACAAGUUACAGGCAAAUUCAAGCUAUCAGGAAAAAUAAUAAUAAUAAACCACUGCAGCUCAUUUCAACUUGAAAAGUUUUAUAGAAAAUUCCAGCCUUUUUACUAGCAUUAUGCCGUCUGUGUGAACUUACAAAAAACCCCAUAGUAAUAAACAUUUCCUUUCUAAAGAAGAAUUAUUUUGCUGUGGAUGCUGUCAUUUCCCAGUGUGAUUCUACUAAGACCUUGGACUUUUAUGGAGAGUUUCUAAAGGAACAGAAACUUCAUAGCACACAACUAUUGUGGGACCAUACACCCAAAGAGACCUUGAAACUUAACAUGAAAAAAAUCCUUCUUGAGAAAGCUAUAUGAGCAAUGAGAAACAUUUUUCAGAUUCAGUUAAUCACCUAGAUCUAAGUGCAAGUACGUAAGCCAAUUUAAGAUUGCAACUGAAUUAUGAAGAAUUAUGAGUCGCAUUUAAAAUGUACAUGGAAAAGAAACAUAGAAAACUGGUGUUCAUUUUAAGUUUUAGAGUUGCCAUAGUUAUGUUAUAAUUUCCUUGGUGAACUGUCCAGAGUAACAUCACCAAUUUAGCUGGAAUUACACUCAACUUUCACCAAACUAGCUAGGGUCAGAUUCUUGUCCUUCAUCUGCUGUAAUGACUAGAUUGAUGCUACUAGAGGAAGAGAUUGCAGCAAAGUAACAACAAUUUUAACAUCUGAUUUAAAUGUUAUUUAUGAUAAAGAUAAAGCUACUUCAAUACAGGAAAAUGAAAUCCCACUAUGUGUUGUUAAAUUAUUGGCUAUAUGUACGAUAGUCCACAAACAACCAAAAAUUCUAUGUAAUUUUUCAAGAUCGUAGCUGUUCUUGACAGUUACCUAAAUCUGUCUUGGUUAGUCACCUGUUCCAAAGUGAAAAAAAUAAUCUGCAUGUUAAAAGCACUUGAUAUAACGUAAGAAUCAUCAUAACGGCCAUUUAAAUACAGCUGCCUGGAGUUAA
Molecule: long non-coding RNA, 1309 nt
Organism: Gavialis gangeticus (Gharial)
Lineage: Eukaryota; Metazoa; Chordata; Crocodylia; Gavialidae
Exons: 2
Source: RefSeq, a predicted model, not a curated record